GUCCUGGUGGUGUAAUGGAGCGCAUCUCACUUUCCGAAGGUGAGGGUCCAGGUUCGAUCCCUGGCCGGGAUA
Molecule: transfer RNA, 72 nt
Filed under: Gemmataceae bacterium
Lineage: Bacteria; Pseudomonadati; Planctomycetota; Planctomycetia; Gemmatales; Gemmataceae
Description: tRNA-Arg
Rfam family: tRNA
About the family: Transfer RNA (tRNA) molecules are approximately 80 nucleotides in length. Their secondary structure includes four short double-helical elements and three loops (D, anti-codon, and T loops). Further hydrogen bonds mediate the characteristic L-shaped molecular structure. tRNAs have two regions of fundamental functional importance: the anti-codon, which is responsible for specific mRNA codon recognition, and the 3' end, to which the tRNAs corresponding amino acid is attached (by aminoacyl-tRNA synthetases). tRNAs cope with the degeneracy of the genetic code in two manners: having more than one tRNA (with a specific anti-codon) for a particular amino acid; and 'wobble' base-pairing, i.e. permitting non-standard base-pairing at the 3rd anti-codon position.
Source: RNAcentral